This 423-nucleotide ribosomal RNA is filed under the name uncultured bacterium. Its description in RNAcentral is "bacterial SSU rRNA". It matches the Rfam family "Bacterial small subunit ribosomal RNA", at positions 355 to 775 of the family's 1533-position model. The record is from RNAcentral.
UAAGGAAUAUUGGACAAUGGUGGCAACACUGAUCCAGCCAUGCCGCGUGAAGGAUGAAGGCGCUAUGCGUCGUAAACUUCUUUUGAACGGGAGAAACCCUCCGAUCGUGAUCGGAGCUGAUAGUACCGUUAGAAUAAGGGUCGGCUAACUUCGUGCCAGCAGCCGCGGUAAUACGAAGGACCCGAGCGUUAUCCGGAUUCAUUGGGUUUAAAGGGUGCGUAGGCGGAGUGAUAAGUCAGUGGUGAAAUCCUGCAGCUUAACUGCAGAACUGCCAUUGAUACUGUCAUUCUUGAAUACAACUGAUGUGGGCGGAAUGUGCCAUGUAGUGGUGAAAUACUUAGAUAUGGCACAGAACACCGAUUGCGAAGGCAGCUCACAAAAUUGUUAUUGACGCUGAUGCACGAAAGCGUGGGGAUCAAACAG